GUGGUUUUCUACUUUAAAGGAGUUAGCAUUAGCAUGCUACCCGCUGCUAAGUUAUGUGGCUAACAGUGAAGCUAACCGCCGAGCUGGUUUAAGGACGUUCUUCUUACCUGCCGAGCCUCGCUUCAGUUCAAUUUCCACCACGUUGGAGUGCAGGGAGCCAUUCAUGUUUUUCUUUCAAAAGCGUACAAACUCUUUAUGCUAUUACAGCUUCAACUCUUCUGGGAAGGCUGUCCACAAGGUUGCGGAGUGUGUUUAUAGGAAUUUUUGACCAUUCUUCCGAAAGCGCAUUGGUCAGGACUCUGUGCAGGCCAGUCAAGUUAAUCCGCACCAGACUCUGUCAUCCAUGUCUUUAUGGACCUUGCUUUGUGCACUGGUGCACAGUCAUGUUGGAAGAGGAAGGGGCCCGCUCCAAACUGUUCCCACAAGGUUGGGAGCAUGGAAUUGUCCAAAAUGUUUUGGUAUCUUGGAGCAUUCAAAGUUCCUUUCACUGGAACUAAGGGGCCAAGCCCAACUCCGGAAAAACAACCCCACAUCAUAAUUCCUCCUCCACCAAAUUUCACACUCAGCACAAUGCAGUCUGAAACAUAGCGUUCUCCUGGCAACCUCCAAACCCAGACUCCUCCAUCAGAUUGCCAGAUGGAAAAGGGUGAUUCAUCAGUCCAGAGAAGGCGUCUCCACUGCUCUAGAGUCCAGUGGCGACGUGCUUUACACCACUGCAUCCCACGCUUUGCAUUGGACUUGAUGUAUGACUUAGAUGCAGCUGCUUGGCCAUUGAAACCCAUUUCAUGAAGCUCCCUGCGUAGUGUACGAGGGCUGAUUGGAAGGUCACAAGAAGCUUGGAGCUCUGUAGCAACUGAGUGUGCAGAAAGCCGGCAACCUCUUUGCACUAUGUGCUUCAGCAUCCGCUGACCCCUCUCUAGUCAGUUUACGUGGCCUACCACUUCGUGGCUGAGUUGCUGUUGUUCACAAACUCUUCCAUGUUCUUAUAAUAAAGCCGACAGUUGACUUUGGCCAGUGUCAGCUAUAACUACUUUGCAUAUCAGAACGAUGAACCAGAAAAGUGGAUACUUUGACUCAUUCAAUAGUUGUGUUGUCAGUGGAAUGAUGCUGUAUCUGCAUGUGCAUUAAAAACUGCUCUUCGAUGAAUGGCUCGUUACUGAUAAUAGGUUCUCCAUCGUUUACUUGAAAGAGCCGUUCAAAACUCUCGACUUGUUCGCUAAUGUCACAUCUCCAGUGAGUGUGUUUGCUUGUUUAAAUGGUAUUUUCGUGUCAUUUUAUAGUGCCUGUAAGUCAUACAUGUACUAAAUACAUUUCUACAGUUUUUUAUUCAUUUAUAAAUAUAAUAAUUUAUUUGGACAGGU
This is a long non-coding RNA of Nerophis lumbriciformis (worm pipefish), 1361 nucleotides long. RefSeq lists it as uncharacterized. Lineage: Eukaryota; Metazoa; Chordata; Actinopteri; Syngnathiformes; Syngnathidae. The record is from RefSeq and is a predicted model, not a curated record.